Molecule: unclassified non-coding RNA, 350 nt
Filed under: soil metagenome
Description: partial contains 5.8S ribosomal RNA, internal transcribed spacer 2, and large subunit ribosomal RNA
Rfam family: 5.8S ribosomal RNA (bases 1-120)
Source: RNAcentral
GAUGAAGAACGUAGCGAAAUGCGAUAAGUAAUGUGAAUUGCAGAAUUCAGUGAAUCAUCGAAUCUUUGAACGCACAUUGCGCCCGCCAGUAUUCUGGCGGGCAUGCCUGUUCGAGCGUCAUUUCAACCCUCAAGCCCAGCUUGGUGUUGGGGAUCGGCACAGGCGCCCUCGGGCGCCCGCCGUCCCCUAAAUCUAGUGGCGGUCCCGCUGCAGCCUCCUCUGCGUAGUAGUUUUCUCCUCGCAAGGGCAGCUCGGUGGCGACCUCGCCGUAAAACCCCCAACUUCUGAAAGGUUGACCUCGAAUCAGGUAGGAAUACCCGCUGAACUUAAGCAUAUCAAUAAGCUGAGGA